GGUGGGGACUCCUUAAUUUCUUCUUCUUUCUUCUCUUCUGCACCCAUACCCAUCGGGGACUCAUUUUCUAAGGCUUCAUCUACCAGCGCAUACUUCUCUGCUCGAGCCAACAUCUCUGUGAAGUUAUGAGGGUAGAUCUUCUCUAGUGAGUAUUGGAGACCAUUCUUUAAGAGUCCACCUUUCAGGGCGAUCAUUGUGA
Molecule: long non-coding RNA, 199 nt
Filed under: Elaeis guineensis (African oil palm)
Lineage: Eukaryota; Viridiplantae; Streptophyta; Magnoliopsida; Arecales; Arecaceae
Description: long non-coding RNA (EGUI_LNC024155)
Source: RNAcentral